Felis catus (domestic cat) is the source of this 85-nucleotide non-coding RNA. NCBI's taxonomy places the organism in Eukaryota, Metazoa, Chordata, Mammalia, Carnivora, Felidae. The record is from Rfam.
GCCUGGGUGGCUCAGUCGGUUGAGCGGCUGACUUCAGCUCAGGUCAUGAUCUCCCGGUGUGUGAGUUUGAGCCCCGCGUCGGGCU